GCCGGGGUAGCUCAGUUGGUAGAGCAGCGGACUGAAAAUCCGCGUGUCGGCGGUUCAAUUCCGUCCCCCGGCACCA
RNAcentral lists this transfer RNA (76 nucleotides) under Desulfovibrio sp. RNAcentral's name for it is "tRNA-Phe". It matches the Rfam family "tRNA". From Rfam's summary of the family: Transfer RNA (tRNA) molecules are approximately 80 nucleotides in length. The record is from RNAcentral. Lineage: Bacteria; Pseudomonadati; Thermodesulfobacteriota; Desulfovibrionia; Desulfovibrionales; Desulfovibrionaceae.